RNAcentral lists this ribosomal RNA (460 nucleotides) under uncultured bacterium. RNAcentral describes it as "partial 16S ribosomal RNA". It matches the Rfam family "Bacterial small subunit ribosomal RNA", at positions 338 to 795 of the family's 1533-position model. The record is from RNAcentral.
CCUACGGGAGGCAGCAGUGAGGAAUAUUGGUCAAUGGACGAGAGUCUGAACCAGCCAAGUAGCGUGAAGGAUGACUGCCCUAUGGGUUGUAAACUUCUUUUAUAAAGGAAUAAAACGAGGCACGUGUGCCUUUUUGCAUGUACUUUAUGAAUAAGGAUCGGCUAACUCCGUGCCAGCAGCCGCGGUAAUACGGAGGAUCCGAGCGUUAUCCGGAUUUAUUGGGUUUAAAGGGAGCGUAGAUGGGUUGUUAAGUCAGUUGUGAAAGUUUGCGGCUCAACCGUAAAAUUGCAAUUGAUACUGGCAGUCGUGAGUACAGUUGAGGUAGGCGGAAUUCGUGGUGUAGCGGUGAAAUGCUUAGAUAUCACGAAGAACCCCGAUUGCGAAGGCAGCUUACUAAACUGUGACUGACAUUGAUGCACGAAAGUGUGGGUAUCAAACAGGAUUAGAUACCCGAGUAGUC